GGGGAUAUGGCGAAAUUGGUAGACGCUACGGACUUAAUUGGAUUGAGCCUUGGUAUGGAAACCCACUAAGUGAUAACUUUCAAAUUCAGAGAAACCCUGGAAUUAAUAAAAGGGGGCAAUCCUGAGCCAAAUCCUGUUUUCCGAAACCAACGGUUCAGAAAGUGAAAAAGGGAUAGGUGCAGAGACUCAACGGAAGCUGUUCUAACAAAUGGAGUUGGCUGCGUUAGUAGAGAAAUCUUUCCAUCGAAAAUUCAGAAAGAAUGAAGUGAAGGAUAAACGUAUAUACAUACGUAUUGAAUACUAUAUCAAAUGAUUCAUGACGACCCGACUGAAUCCGUAUUUUUAUAGAUGAAAAACGGAAGAAUUGGUGUGAAUAGAUUCCACAUUGAAGAAAGAAUCGAAUAUUCAUCGAUCAAACGAUUCACUCCAUGGUCUGAUAGAUCUUUUCAAGAACUGAUUAAUCGGACGAGAAUAAAGAUAGAGUCCCGUUCUACAUGUCAAUGCCGGCAACAAUGAAAUUUAUAGUAAGAGGAAAAUCCGUCGACUUUAAAAAUCGUGAGGGUUCAAGUCCCUCUAUCCCCAA
RNAcentral lists this non-coding RNA (583 nucleotides) under Hamelia cuprea. RNAcentral describes it as "transfer RNA-Leu". The stretch from base 26 to 507 matches the Rfam family "Group I catalytic intron". From Rfam's summary of the family: Group I catalytic introns are large self-splicing ribozymes. They catalyse their own excision from mRNA, tRNA and rRNA precursors in a wide range of organisms. The core secondary structure consists of 9 paired regions (P1-P9). The record is from RNAcentral. Lineage: Eukaryota; Viridiplantae; Streptophyta; Magnoliopsida; Gentianales; Rubiaceae.